AUGAAUUAUGCUUAUGGAGAUGAACUUGCUAUAGUUCCUUAUGUUAAACAUGAAAUUGUUGCUAUUGCACCCACGCAUGAUAGUCCUAUUAUCUUUUUGAAUUGUUCCGACUACACUAUAUCGGAGAAGUUUGUGCUUAUUAAGGAUUAUAUUGGUGGGUUGCCUUUUACCGUUGCACAUGAUGAUUUUGAUAGAUAUAAUAUGCAUGUGCUUGCUGCUCCUACUUGCAAUUAUUAUGAGAGAGGAACUAUGUCUCCACCUCUCUAUGUUUCCUACACGAUAGAAUUGCAAGAAACUGCUUAUACUAUGCAUUGGCCUUUACUUGGUGUGCAUGAAUUGUUCUUUUAUGACAUGCGGAUGCAUAGGAAGAGAGUUAGACUUCGUUGUUGCUUGAUAUAUGUUACUUUGUGCUCACUACUAACUUACAAAUCAUUGUUAAUUAAAAUUGGCUUUGAUAUACCUUGGGAUCCGGGUGGAUCCAUUAUUUGA
RNAcentral lists this ribosomal RNA (489 nucleotides) under Triticum aestivum (bread wheat). RNAcentral's name for it is "partial small subunit ribosomal RNA". Lineage: Eukaryota; Viridiplantae; Streptophyta; Magnoliopsida; Poales; Poaceae. The record is from RNAcentral.